GGUUCGAUCCUGGCUCAGAUUGAACGCUGGCGGGAUGCUUUACAUGCAAGUCGAACGGCAGCAUGGACUUCGGUCUGGUGGCGAGUGGCGAACAGGUGAGUAAUGUAUCGGAACGUGCCUAGUAGCGGGGGAUAACUACGCGAAAGCGUAGCUAAUACCGCAUACGCCCUUCGGGGAAAGCGGGGGACCUUCCCGGGCCUCUCGCACUAUUAGAGCGGCCCGAUAUCGGAUUAGCUAGUUGGUGGGGUAACGGCUCACCAAGGCGACGAUCCGUAGCUGGUUUGAGAGGACGACUCAGCACUGGGACUGGGGCCGCAGCCCGGGCUCACCACAGGAGGCAGCAGUGGGAAUUUUGGACAAUGGGGAAACCCUGAUCCAGCCAUCCCGCGUGUGCGAUGAAGGCCUUCGGGUUGUAAAGCACUUUUGGCAGGAAAGAAACGGCACGGGAUCACCCCGUGCGUUGCUCUCACCAAAGACCUUUUACAGCCCGAGACUCGUCGCACACGCGGGAAUAACUGGGUCAGGGUUUCCCCCAUUGUCCCACCUGCCUCCAUGGGAGUCUGGAGCCGUCGUCUCGGUCAGUGUGGCUGAUCUCCUCUCUCCAAACCAGCUACGGAUCAUUUGGCCCCACCAACUAACUAAUCCGAUAUCGGCCUAUAGUGCGAGGCCCGGAUCCCCCUUCCCCCGAGGGCGUAUGUGGCUGUUAGCUACGCUUUCGCGAGGUGCGCCUCCCCCCGCCCCACCACAGAGCGCGUUCGAUACGACCCCGGGUCCUGCUCGCCGCACCAACAGGGAGUCCAUGCUGCCGUUCGACUUGCAUGUGUAAAGCAUCCGCCAGCAGUCUGGCCAGGAUCGAACCCUCUGUGACACGGUCUUUCCGGCAAUACAUGGCUUA
Molecule: unclassified non-coding RNA, 895 nt
Filed under: uncultured Bordetella sp.
Lineage: Bacteria; Pseudomonadati; Pseudomonadota; Betaproteobacteria; Burkholderiales; Alcaligenaceae
Description: partial 16S-23S ribosomal RNA intergenic spacer
Rfam family: Bacterial small subunit ribosomal RNA (bases 1-530)
Source: RNAcentral